This 227-nucleotide small RNA is filed under the name Paenibacillus ihuae. RNAcentral's name for it is "BsrG". The record is from RNAcentral. Lineage: Bacteria; Bacillati; Bacillota; Bacilli; Caryophanales; Paenibacillaceae.
AUGGGCGGUCGGCUAAUCUCCCGGAAGGGAGGUGAUGCCUGUGGAGGUUUAUCAAGCGUUGUCCCUGAUGUUCAUGUUCGGCAUGUUCAUUCUGGCUCUGCUAACUUACCUCAAAAAGAAAUAGACCGCCCUUCUCAAGGGAAGCGGUCUAUUCUUUGACUGGUUUACCUGUUUAAAGCCUCCGCCCUUAAAAGCGGCUAUUGCGCAGAGAGUCGUGUUACCAGCAC